AAGACUAUACUUCACAGGAUCAUUUCUGUAGUCAGUCUUCACUUACUUUCACACUAGCUGAAAGUCACACACACCCGCGUUGAUGAGGUGAAUCGUUUUAUUCGGCAGCGUGAGGUUUUGCGUUUUGCACCUUUGUGUGCGUAACGCUUCGAUGAUCGCUCGGUAACACGAAUAGAACGAAUUCUGAGUGGU
Molecule: small nucleolar RNA, 192 nt
Organism: Drosophila busckii
Lineage: Eukaryota; Metazoa; Arthropoda; Insecta; Diptera; Drosophilidae
Rfam family: Small nucleolar RNA U3
About the family: Small nucleolar RNAs (snoRNAs) are involved in the processing and modification of rRNA in the nucleolus. There are two main classes of snoRNAs: the box C/D class, and the box H/ACA class.
Source: Rfam